GACGAACGCUGGCGGCGUGCCUAAUACAUGCAAGUAGAACGCUGAAGAGAGGAGCUUGCUCUUCUUGGAUGAGUUGCGAACGGGUGAGUAACGCGUAGGUAACCUGCCUGGUAGCGGGGGAUAACUAUUGGAAACGAUAGCUAAUACCGCAUAAAAUUGAUUAUUGCAUGAUAAUUAAUUGAAAGAUGCAAUUGCAUCACUACCAGAUGGACCUGCGUUGUAUUAGCUAGUUGGUGAGGUAACGGCUCACCAAGGCGACGAUACAUAGCCGACCUGAGAGGGUGAUCGGCCACACUGGGACUGAGACACGGCCCAGACUCCUACGGGAGGCAGCAGUAGGGAAUCUUCGGCAAUGGGGGGAACCCUGACCGAGCAACGCCGCGUGAGUGAAGAAGGUUUUCGGAUCGUAAAGCUCUGUUGUAAGAGAAGAACGGGUGUGAGAGUGGAAAGUCACA
This 455-nucleotide ribosomal RNA is filed under the name Streptococcus sanguinis. RNAcentral describes it as "bacterial SSU rRNA". It matches the Rfam family "Bacterial small subunit ribosomal RNA", at positions 28 to 468 of the family's 1533-position model. Lineage: Bacteria; Bacillati; Bacillota; Bacilli; Lactobacillales; Streptococcaceae. The record is from RNAcentral.